AGAGUUUGAUCCUGGCUCAGAUUGAACGCUGGCGGCAGGCCUAACACAUGCAAGUCGAGCGGAUGAUGGGAGCUUGCUCCUGGAUUCAGCGGCGGACGGGUGAGUAAUGCCUAGGAAUCUGCCUGGUAGUGGGGGACAACGUUUCGAAAGGAACGCUAAUACCGCAUACGUCCUACGGGAGAAAGCAGGGGACCUUCGGGCCUUGCGCUAUCAGAUGAGCCUAGGUCGGAUUAGCUAGUUGGUGGGGUAAAGGCCUACCAAGGCGACGAUCCGUAACUGGUCUGAGAGGAUGAUCAGUCACACUGGAACUGAGACACGGUCCAGACUCCUACGGGAGGCAGCAGUGGGGAAUAUUGGACAAUGGGCGAAAGCCUGAUCCAGCCAUGCCGCGUGUGUGAAGAAGGUCUUCGGAUUGUAAAGCACUUUAAGUUGGGAGGAAGGGCAGUAAGUUAAUACCUUGCUGUUUUGACGUUACCAACAGAAUAAGCACCGGCUAACUUCGUGCCAGCAGCCGCGGUAAUACGAAGGGUGCAAGCGUUAAUCGGAAUUACUGGGCGUAAAGCGCGCGUAGGUGGUUUGGUAAGAUGGAUGUGAAAUCCCCGGGCUCAACCUGGGAACUGCAUCCAUAACUGCCUGACUAGAGUACGGUAGAGGGUGGUGGAAUUUCCUGUGUAGCGGUGAAAUGCGUAGAUAUAGGAAGGAACACCAGUGGCGAAGGCGACCACCUGGACUGAUACUGACACUGAGGUGCGAAAGCGUGGGGAGCAAACAGAAGUAGAUACCCUGGUAGUCCACGCCGUAAACG
RNAcentral lists this ribosomal RNA (805 nucleotides) under uncultured bacterium. RNAcentral's name for it is "bacterial SSU rRNA". It matches the Rfam family "Bacterial small subunit ribosomal RNA", at positions 8 to 808 of the family's 1533-position model. The record is from RNAcentral.